RNAcentral lists this ribosomal RNA (253 nucleotides) under uncultured bacterium. RNAcentral's name for it is "partial 16S ribosomal RNA". It matches the Rfam family "Bacterial small subunit ribosomal RNA", at positions 524 to 776 of the family's 1533-position model. The record is from RNAcentral.
UACGGAGGGUGCGAGCGUUAUUCGGAAUUACUGGGCGUAAAGCGUACGCAGGCGGUUGCCCAAGUCAGAUGUGAAAGCCCCGGGCUUAACCUGGGAACUGCAUUUGAAACUGGGCGACUAGAGUAUGAAAGAGGAAAGCGGAAUUUCCAGUGUAGCAGUGAAAUGCGUAGAUAUUGGAAGGAACACCGAUGGCGAAGGCAGCUUUCUGGGUCGAUACUGACGCUCAUGUGCGAGAGCGUGGGGAGCAAACAGG